RNAcentral lists this non-coding RNA (27 nucleotides) under Mus musculus (house mouse). Lineage: Eukaryota; Metazoa; Chordata; Mammalia; Rodentia; Muridae. The record is from RNAcentral. RNAcentral also lists the same sequence under 1 other name.
UCCCUAGCAAGUAGGAAUAACUGUCCC